UACGAAGGAUCCAAGCGUUAUCCGGAUUUAUUGGGUUUAAAGGGUGCGUAGGCGGACUAUUAAGUCAGUGGUGAAAGCCUGCAGCUUAACUGCAGAAUUGCCAUUGAUACUGAUGGUCUUGAGUACAGAAGGGGCAACUGGAAUUCUCGGUGUAGCGGUGAAAUGCGUAGAUAUCGAGAGGAACACCUGCGGCGAAGGCGGGUUGCUGGGCUGACACUGACGCUGAGGCGCGAAAGCCAGGGGAGCGAACGGG
RNAcentral lists this ribosomal RNA (253 nucleotides) under uncultured bacterium. RNAcentral's name for it is "partial 16S ribosomal RNA". It matches the Rfam family "Bacterial small subunit ribosomal RNA", at positions 524 to 776 of the family's 1533-position model. The record is from RNAcentral.